GACGAACGCUGGCGGCGUGCUUAACACAUGCAAGUCGAGCGAUGAAGCACCUUCGGGUGUGAAUUAGCGGCGAACGGGUGAGGAACUCGUGAGAAAUCUGCCUUCAACUCUGGGAUAACUCCGGGAAACCGGGGCUAAUACCGGAUAUGAGCCUCGAUCGCAUGAUCGGGGCUGGAAAGUUUUUCGGUUGAAGAUGAUCUCGCGGCCUAUCAGCUUGUUGGUGAGGUAAUGGCUCACCAAGGCGACGACGGGUAGCCGGCCUGAGAGGGCGACCGGCCACACUGGGACUGAGACACGGCCCAGACUCCUACGGGAGGCAGCAGUGGGGAAUAUUGGGCAAUGGAGGAAACUCUGACCCAGCGACGCCGCGUGAGGGAUGAAGGCCUUCGGGUUGUAAACCUCUUUCAGUAGGGAAGAAGCGAAAGUGACGGUACCUACAGAAGAAGCACCGGCUAACUAUGUGCCAGCCGCCGCAGUAA
This 479-nucleotide ribosomal RNA is filed under the name uncultured bacterium. RNAcentral describes it as "partial 16S ribosomal RNA". It matches the Rfam family "Bacterial small subunit ribosomal RNA", at positions 28 to 523 of the family's 1533-position model. The record is from RNAcentral.